RNAcentral lists this microRNA (21 nucleotides) under Ornithorhynchus anatinus (platypus). Its description in RNAcentral is "oan-miR-1395-3p". The record is from miRBase by way of RNAcentral. Lineage: Eukaryota; Metazoa; Chordata; Mammalia; Monotremata; Ornithorhynchidae.
UCCUGAAGGGCUAAUUCCGCU